RNAcentral lists this non-coding RNA (21 nucleotides) under Arabidopsis thaliana (thale cress). The record is from RNAcentral. Lineage: Eukaryota; Viridiplantae; Streptophyta; Magnoliopsida; Brassicales; Brassicaceae.
CAAUCAUAUAUUGCUCUACAG